CUGUGAGUAUUCUCGCUAUUCUGAUUUUGUAAUAAUCAGGGCAGACUAAACAUUUGCUAUAUGAAGACCAUGCAUAUAUCCCCAGACCUAGUUCUUUCCCUAGGUCUAGUUUUAUAAAUGCUGAUGAUAACC
Molecule: small nucleolar RNA, 132 nt
Organism: Balaenoptera musculus (blue whale)
Lineage: Eukaryota; Metazoa; Chordata; Mammalia; Artiodactyla; Balaenopteridae
Gene: SNORA72
Rfam family: Small nucleolar RNA SNORA72
About the family: U72 is a member of the H/ACA class of snoRNAs.
Source: Ensembl